CUACAGGCUUAACACAUGCAAGUCGAGGGGCAGCAUGGUCUUAGCUUGCUAAGGCCGAUGGCGACCGGCGCACGGGUGAGUAACACGUAUCCAACCUGCCGUCUACUCUUGGACAGCCUUCUGAAAGGAAGAUUAAUACAAGAUGGCAUCAUGAGUCCGCAUGUUCACAUGAUUAAAGGUAUUCCGGUAGACGAUGGGGAUGCGUUCCAUUAGAUAGUAGGCGGGGUAACGGCCCACCUAGUCUUCGAUGGAUAGGGGUUCUGAGAGGAAGGUCCCCCACAUUGGAACUGAGACACGGUCCAAACUCCUACGGGAGGCAGCAGUGAGGAAUAUUGGUCAAUGGGCGAGAGCCUGAACCAGCCAAGUAGCGUGAAGGAUGACUGCCCUAUGGGUUGUAAACUUCUUUUAUAAAGGAAUAAAGUCGGGUAUGCAUACCCGUUUGCAUGUACUUUAUGAAUAAGGAUCGGCUAACUCCGUGCCAGCAGCCGCGGUAAUACGGAGGAUCCGAGCGUUAUCCGGAUUUAUUGGGUUUAAAGGGAGCGUAGAUGGAUGUUUAAGUCAGUUGUGAAAGUUUGCGGCUCAACCGUAAAAUUGCAGUUGAUACUGGAUAUCUUGAGUGCAGUUGAGGCAGGCGGAAUUCGUGGUGUAGCGGUGAAAUGCUUAGAUAUCACGAAGAACUCCGAUUGCGAAGGCAGCCUGCUAAGCUGCAACUGACAUUGAGGCUCGAAAGUGUGGGUAUCAAACAGGAUUAGAUACCCUGGUAGUCCACACGGUAAACGAUGAAUACUCGCUGUUUGCGAUAUACGGCAAGCGGCCAAGCGAAAGCGUUAAGUAUUCCACCUGGGGAGUACGCCGGCAACGGUGAAACUCAAAGGAAUUGACGGGGGCCCGCACAAGCGGAGGAACAUGUGGUUUAAUUCGAUGAUACGCGAGGAACCUUACCCGGGCUUAAAUUGCAGAUGAAUUACGGUGAAAGCCGUAAGCCGCAAGGCAUCUGUGAAGGUGCUGCAUGGUUGUCGUCAGCUCGUGCCGUGAGGUGUCGGCUUAAGUGCCAUAACGAGCGCAACCCUUGUUGUCAGUUACUAACAGGUUCCGCUGAGGACUCUGACAAGACUGCCAUCGUAAGAUGUGAGGAAGGUGGGGAUGACGUCAAAUCAGCACGGCCCUUACGUCCGGGGCUACACACGUGUUACAAUGGGGGGUACAGAGGGCCGCUACCACGCGAGUGGAUGCCAAUCCCCAAAACCUCUCUCAGUUCGGACUGGAGUCUGCAACCCGACUCCACGAAGCUGGAUUCGCUAGUAAUCGCGCAUCAGCCACGGCGCGGUGAAUACGUUCCCGGGCCUUGUACACACCGCCCGUCAAGCCAUGGGAGCCGGGGGUACCUGAAGUGCGUAACCGCGAGGAGCGCCCUAGGGUAAAACUGGUGACUGGGGCUAAAUCG
RNAcentral lists this ribosomal RNA (1444 nucleotides) under uncultured organism. Its description in RNAcentral is "SSU rRNA". It matches the Rfam family "Bacterial small subunit ribosomal RNA". The record is from RNAcentral.